Molecule: non-coding RNA, 825 nt
Organism: Pelobates cultripes (western spadefoot toad)
Lineage: Eukaryota; Metazoa; Chordata; Amphibia; Anura; Pelobatidae
Source: the annotation of a GenBank genome assembly
CUGGAACCAAGUUCGUCAGAACCCUGCACCUAGGGCCGCUGCCCAUCACUACCAAGCAGAACCAGUAACCCAGGAGUUAUUGAGCACUCAAGCAGAGGAACCCCUGGGAAUACUACAUGAGGUGAUGUCAGUACAAGCCACUGACAACCGGCAACAUCAUUGCCAGCUGGUGACAUUGGAGGGAAAAGAAGUGCAGGGGCUCCGGGAUUCAGGAGCCACCCUAACUUUGGUCGCACCCCAUUUGGUUCCGGGUACAGCACACACUGGCGGAUCUGUGGUGGUACGAGUGGCAGGGGGAGCAGUGUACCGACUAUCCACUGCCAAAGUACAUUUGAACUGGGGUGCUGGGGAGGGGAUGGUAGAAGUGGGCAUCAUGCAGAAGUUACCUGCAGAUGUUGUGUUUGGAAAUGACUUGGGCCGGAUUACCUCUGCUUUUAUACCGCAGGCACCACUUCAGGAAGCCCAUCCAGUGACCACCCGGCAGCAAUCUCGCACCACGGUUCCACCAACACACUCUGAGGCUCAGGUAAGAGACAAUGACCCCCAUACGACAUGUAUGACCUGGGUUACCAAGACUACAUUUGAGGCAGAGGUUAAGUUAGACCCCACAUUGCAGGUCUACAGAGACAGGGUGAGCACAAAUCAGGCUGGGUUAGAGGGGGAGUGGUAUAGAUGGGAGAAAGGGCUACUGUAUCGUAUUGCAGAAAGAGUAGUAGGGGGAUCAGUCACAGUAACGACUAGACAGUUAGUAGCUCCCCAAAAGUAUAGGCAAGAACUGCUUAGGAUUGCGCAUGAUAUUUCCUUGUCUGGGCAUCUGGGAAUGAC